GCUGCAUAAAAACAUGAGUGUUUCAAAAAGUAUCUAUUUGUUAUAUAGACUUUUUAUUCAAGAAUAUCUCUAUAAAGAAGUACACACUGAGGCACUUAUACUUAUUCUUGGCAAUUUCAUUUCUUGAGACUAGUCUAGUUAUUGUGGGUUGAAUGAGCUAUUGUUUUCUUGUAUUAUUUGGAUCAAGCCUUUUCAUCAAAUAUUUUUUGUUAAGAUUUAUACUCAAUAUGUUUCACAACAAAAACCACCCCGAGUCAAACAAGAAAAUACAUAGGAAACUAUGGCAUUGUUUUUUCACCCUCUGUUUGGGACUUUUUAUCGCCAUUUCCCUCAAUCCGUUUUCAUUGAAAUAUAACUCUAUUGUAUAUAAAUACAACAUGCACCAGAAUUGUAGUUAUUUGUUAUUUCCUGUAACCUGGGAAAGGUUUAAAACUUUGGUGAAGUUUUUACUACAAUAAUUUUAUUUAUCUAUACCGUUACCGUUCAAAUAAAAUAUUGUUUGGAAUAUGCAAGAAACGAAAGAAGAAAAUAAAGAAAACCAACGAAAGCAUGCAGUACAGAUUAUGGGAGGUAUAGAGUGUUCCUGAAUUUUAUCUUUGGUUCCAAUGCUUUAUGAAUAAAUAUGAAUAGGGCAAUCUGAUGGGAUAAUGCACGUAUCCAUAUAAUAAAACACUUCCCAAUGCAAAGAAAAAAGAAAAGAAGACAAGAUGGGUCUUUAUCUUUGUCUUUCUAUUUUAGACGAAUAAAAUAUAACAUUUUCCGAUAAAAGAUUUUUUCUGUUCUUCUUCCCUCUAAAAUGUUAAGUGUACUUUGCGAGAAUCACAGACAGCUUGAAGUCUACAGUAACCCCUGCAGAGAGAAAAACAAUUCCUUAUUGACACCCAUGGUGUUAAUACCCCCUACGAGC
This 907-nucleotide long non-coding RNA is filed under the name Mytilus galloprovincialis (Mediterranean mussel). Lineage: Eukaryota; Metazoa; Mollusca; Bivalvia; Mytilida; Mytilidae. The record is from RNAcentral.